CCUACGGGAGGCAGCAGUAGGGAAUCUUCCACAAUGGACGAAAGUCUGAAGGAGCAACGCCGCGUGAGUGAAGAAGGUCUUCGGAUCGUAAAACUCUGUUGUUAGAGAAGAAAGAGCGUGCGAGUAACUGUUCACGCUUCGACGGUAUCUAACCAGAAAGCCACGGCUAACUACGUGCCAGCAGCCGCGGUAAUACGUAGGUGGCAAGCGUUAUCCGGAUUUAUUGGGCGUAAAGGGAACGCAGUCGGUCUUUUAAGUCUGAUGUGAAAGCCUUCGGCUUAACCGGAGAAGUGCAUUGGAAACUGGGAGACUUGAGUGCAGAAGAGGAGAGUGGAACUCCAGGUGUAGCGGUGAAAUGCGUAGAUAUAUGGAAGAACACCAGUGGCGAAAGCAGCUCUCUGGUCUGUAACUGACGCUGAGGCUCGAAAGCGUGGGUAGCAAACAGGAUUAGAUACCCGUGUAGUC
RNAcentral lists this ribosomal RNA (465 nucleotides) under uncultured bacterium. RNAcentral describes it as "partial 16S ribosomal RNA". It matches the Rfam family "Bacterial small subunit ribosomal RNA", at positions 338 to 795 of the family's 1533-position model. The record is from RNAcentral.